CAAUAAGCGGAGGAAAAGAAACUAACAAGGAUUCCCCUAGUAACUGCGAGUGAAGCGGGAUGAGCUCAAAUUUAAAAUCUGGCGUCUUCGGCGUCCGAGUUGUAAUUUAGAGAAGCGUUUUCCGCGCCGGACCGUGUACAAGUCUCCUGGAACGGAGCGUCAUAGAGGGUGAGAAUCCCGUCUUUGACACGGACCCCCGGUGCUCUGUGAUACGCUCUCGAAGAGUCGAGUUGUUUGGGAAUGCAGCUCAAAAUGGGUGGUGAACUCCAUCUAAAGCUAAAUAUUGGCGAGAGACCGAUAGCGAACAAGUACCGUGAGGGAAAGAUGAAAAGCACUUUGGAAAGAGAGUGAAACAGUACGUGAAAUUGUUGAAAGGGAAACGCUUGAAGUCAGUCGCGUCCGCCGGAGCUCAGCCGCAAGGUGUACUCUCUGGUGGACGGGCCAGCAUCACUUUCGAUCAUCGGAAAAGGGCGAGGGGAAUGUGGCACCUCCGGGUGUGUUAUAGCCCCUUGUCGUAUACGGUGACCGGGAGUGAGGACCGCCUUUUGUAGGAUGCUGGCGUAAUGGCUUUAAACGACCCGUCUUGAAACACGGACCAAGGAGUCUAACAUGCCCGCGAGUGUUCGGGUGGAAAACCCGUGCGCGUAAUGAAAGUGAAAGUUGGGAAGGCUGUCGCGGCCUGCACCGACGCCCGGACUUGAGAUUUAUCGAAGGUUCUGCGGUAGAGCGUGUAUGUUGGGACCCGAAAGAUGGUGAACUAUGCCUGAAUAGGGUGAAGCCAGAGGAAACUCUGGUGGAGGCUCGUAGCGAUUCUGACGUGCAAAUCGAUCGUCAAAUUUGGGUAUAGGG
This 849-nucleotide ribosomal RNA is filed under the name Peniophora pseudopini. RNAcentral's name for it is "partial large subunit ribosomal RNA". It matches the Rfam family "Eukaryotic large subunit ribosomal RNA", at positions 44 to 922 of the family's 3401-position model. Lineage: Eukaryota; Fungi; Basidiomycota; Agaricomycetes; Russulales; Peniophoraceae. The record is from RNAcentral.